This is a long non-coding RNA of Mizuhopecten yessoensis (Yesso scallop), 457 nucleotides long. RefSeq lists it as uncharacterized. NCBI's taxonomy places the organism in Eukaryota, Metazoa, Mollusca, Bivalvia, Pectinida, Pectinidae. The transcript is spliced from 4 exons. The record is from RefSeq and is a predicted model, not a curated record.
CACCUACAGGUUGCAUAACACAUAUGAGUGUAAGAUAACUUAACUGAUUUGGUGAAUGGGUGAGUGUGUGCUCACGCUAAGAACCUGUUAUUCCAUGCAGAAACAUUCCACCUAUCGUUCGAAUACCAGCCUUCGACGGUAUCAGAUCUACCAAACGUUAUUCCAUCACGGUUCAUCGUUUUUUCCCAGCCAUGUUACAUCUGCCUUUCCUCUUCUUUGGAAUCGUAUCCUUCCAUUCGGUGCUAACAGCAGAACCAUGUUCCCCAACAAGUAAAACAGCGUGCUGCAUCCAUGGAUCGCCCUAUACUGACGGGAACGGAGAGCAGUUGUUUUGUGGCCGUGGCCCCAAUUCAAGGAGAUGCCCAAAGGACUACUCUUGCUUUACAAACGCGGUAGACUUGUGGGCAGUAUGUUGUUCUGCCAAGAAAGUAACACCAGAACCAUGUUCCCCAACAAG